GAUGAACGCUGGCGGCGUGCCUAAUACAUGCAAGUCGAGCGAACAGACGAGGAGCUUGCUCCUUUGACGUUAGCGGCGGACGGGUGAGUAACACGUGGAUAACCUACCUAUAAGACUGGGAUAACUUCGGGAAACCGGAGCUAAUACCGGAUAACAUGUUGAACCGUAUGGUUCAACAGUGAAAGACGGUCUUGCUGUCACUUAUAGAUGGAUCCGCGCCGCAUUAGCUAGUUGGUAAGGUAACGGCUUACCAAGGCAACGAUGCGUACCCGACCUGAGAGGGUGAUCGGCCACACUAGAACUGAGACACGGUCCAGAAUCCUGAGGGAGGCCGCAGUAGGGAAUGUGGCGCAAUGGGCGAAAGCCUGACGGAGCGACGCAGCGUGAGUGAAGGAGGUCUUCGGAGCGUAAAACUCUGUUAUUAGGGAAGAACAAAUGUGUAAGUAACUAUGCACGUCUUGACGGUACCUAAUCAGAAAGCCACGGCUAACUACGUG
RNAcentral lists this ribosomal RNA (497 nucleotides) under uncultured bacterium. RNAcentral describes it as "partial 16S ribosomal RNA". It matches the Rfam family "Bacterial small subunit ribosomal RNA", at positions 28 to 507 of the family's 1533-position model. The record is from RNAcentral.